Long non-coding RNA from Acanthochromis polyacanthus (spiny chromis), 762 nucleotides. RefSeq lists it as uncharacterized. Lineage: Eukaryota; Metazoa; Chordata; Actinopteri; Pomacentridae. The record is from RefSeq and is a predicted model, not a curated record. The transcript is spliced from 2 exons.
GAUUUCCCAGUGUGAUUGGCUGCAUAGAUGCACACACAUCCCCAUCACAGCUCCCUCACAUCAUGAACAGGAAGUCCAUUCACAGCAUAAAUGUGCAGGUAGGCUACAGGUAGACUGACUACUGUUUCUAAAUGUUAAAGACUGCAUCAUAGUUCAACAUCUGUCAUUCUCUGCACUGUCCAGAUCAUAUGUGAUGCUGCAUACAUCAUUUCUAAUGUGGAGGCCACGUGGUCUGGGUCUGUUCAUGACUCCAGGAUUUAUGGAGAGUCUAACCUGAGCAACAGACUGCAGCAUGGAGAGUUUGAUGGCCUUCUGCUGGGUGACAGGGGUUACCAUGACAACCCAGGCUGAUGACCUCAUACCCUGACCCUGAACCAGGCCCCCAACAGAACUUCAACCGGACUCACUGCAGGACCAGAGCCCGGGUGGAGAUGACCAUAGGCCUGCUGAAAGCCCGUUUCCAGAGCCUACGUCUCCUCAGGGUGACCCCUGAGAGGGCCUGUGAUAUUACUGUGGCAUGUGUUGUUCUUCAUAAUAUUACCACUAUCAGAGGAGAGCAACACCCUGCCCUACAAACUGAAGACCCAGAUGAUGAGCCCAUCCACCUGCAGCUAUCCAGGACAGCAGAGCAAUCAGAGACACCGUAUGCAAUAAUCACUUUAGAGUUUAAGUCUCCAUCAUCACCACCACAGCAAAUAAAGACAUGAUACACAUUUCAUUUGCUCUUCUUUAUUUCCUACAAAUAAAAGAUAGUUCAGUUCA